ACUCAAAGGAAUUGACGGGGGCCCGCACAAGCGGCGGAGCAUGCGGAUUAAUUCGAUGCAACGCGAAGAACCUUACCAAGGCUUGACAUGUACCGGAAACCCUCGGAGACGCAGGGCCCCGCAAGGCUGGUACACAGGUGGUGCAUGGUUGUCGUCAGCUCGUGUCGUGAGAUGUUGGGUUAAGUCCCGCAACGAGCGCAACCCUCGUUCUAUGUUGCCAGCGGUUCGGCCGGGGACUCAUAGGAGACUGCCGGGGUCAACUCGGAGGAAGGUGGGGAUGACGUCAAAUCAUCAUGCCCCUUACGUCUUGGGCUUCACGCAUGCUACAAUGGCCGGUACAGAGGGCUGCGAUACCGCGAGGUGGAGCGAAUCCCUUAAAGCUGGUCUCAGUUCGGAUUGGGGUCUGCAACUCGACCCCAUGAAGUCGGAGUCGCUAGUAAUCGCAGAUCAGCAACGCUGCGGUGAAUACGUUCCCGGGCCUUGUACACACCGCCCGU
RNAcentral lists this ribosomal RNA (497 nucleotides) under uncultured bacterium. Its description in RNAcentral is "partial 16S ribosomal RNA". It matches the Rfam family "Bacterial small subunit ribosomal RNA", at positions 899 to 1397 of the family's 1533-position model. The record is from RNAcentral.